UAGUCCACGCCGUAAACGAUGAAUGCCAGACGUCAGCAAGUAUACUUGUUGGUGUCACACCUAACGGAUUAAGCAUUCCGCCUGGGGAGUACGGUCGCAAGAUUAAAACUCAAAGGAAUUGACGGGGGCCCGCACAAGCGGUGGGCAUGUGGUUUAAUUCGAAGCAACGCGCAGAACCUUACCAACCCUUGACAUGGAUAUCGCGGCUCUGGAGACAGAGCUUUCAGUUCGGCUGGAUAUCACACAGGUGCUGCAUGGCUGUCGUCAGCUCGUGUCGUAAGAUGUUCGGUUAAGUCCGGGCAACGAGCGCAACCCACACUCUUAGUUGCCAGCAUUCAGUUGGGCACUCUAGGAGAACUGCCGGUGAUAAGCCGGAGGAAGGUGUGGAUGACGUCAAGUCCUCAUGGCCCUUACGGGUUGGGCUACACACGUGCUACAAUGGUAGUGACAAUGGGUUAAUCCCAAAAAGCUAAUCUCAGUUCGGAUUGGGGUCUGCAACUCCG
This 503-nucleotide ribosomal RNA is filed under the name uncultured bacterium. RNAcentral's name for it is "bacterial SSU rRNA". It matches the Rfam family "Bacterial small subunit ribosomal RNA", at positions 791 to 1314 of the family's 1533-position model. The record is from RNAcentral.